UACGUAGGGGGCAAGCGUUGUCCGGAUUUAUUGGGCGUAAAGAGCGUGUAGGCGGCUUGGUAGGUCUCGCGUCAAAACCUGAGGCUCAACCUCAGUUCGCGUGGGAAACCACCUAGCUAGAGUCCGGAAGAGGAGAACGGAAUUCCCAGUGUAGCGGUGAAAUUCGUAGAUAUUGGGAAGAACACCGGUGGCGAAGGCGGCUAUCUGGCCCGUAAUUGACGCUGAGGCGCGAAAGCGUGGGGAGCAAACAGG
RNAcentral lists this ribosomal RNA (252 nucleotides) under uncultured bacterium. RNAcentral's name for it is "partial 16S ribosomal RNA". It matches the Rfam family "Bacterial small subunit ribosomal RNA", at positions 524 to 776 of the family's 1533-position model. The record is from RNAcentral.